UUGCUCGCUGCCCUCAAGUUUCUCUGAGAUGAACUAAUGAAUUGGAAUCAUGGUGCAAAAGAAGAAGUUCUGCCCUCGGUUACUUGACUAUCUGGUGAUCGUAGGGGCCAGGCACCCGAGCAGUGACAGUGUAGCUCAGACUCCUGAACUGCUACGGCGAUACCCAUUAGAAGAUCAUGCUGAGUUUCCGCUGCCCCCAGACGUCGUGUUCUUCUGCCAGCCUGAGGGCUGUCUGAGUGUGCGGCAGCGUCGCAUGACCCUUCGGGAUGAUACCUCUUUUGUCUUCACCCUCACUGACAAGGACACUGGAGUCACACGUUAUGGCAUCUGUGUUAACUUUUACCGCUCCUUCCAGAAGCGAAUGCCUAAGGAAAAGGGGGAUGGUGGGGCAGGGUCCCGUGGGAAGGAAGGGACCCGUGCCACCCGUGCCUCAGAAGAGGUUGGCACUGAAAGUUCAGAGAGUGGCUCAUCCCUGCAGCCUCCUACUGCUGACUCCACCCCCGAUGUGAACCAUUCUCCUCGGGGCAAACGCCGGGCCAAAGGGGGCAGUCGGUCCCGCAACAGUACUCUGACAUCCCUGUGUGUGCUCAGCCACUACUCUUUCUUCUCCACCUUCCGAGAGUGUCUGUAUACCCUCAAACGGCUGGUAGACUGCUGUAGUGAACGGCUGCUAGGCAAGAAACUGGGCAUCCCUCGAGGUGUACAGAGGGACACCAUGUGGAGGAUUUUCACAGGAUCACUGCUAGUGGAGGAGAAGUCAAGUGCCCUUCUGCAUGACCUUCGAGAGAUUGAGGCCUGGAUCUAUCGAUUGCUGCGCUCCCCAGUCCCCGUCUCUGGGCAGAAGAGAGUAGACAUUGAGGUCCUGCCCCAGGACCUCCAGCCGGCUCUGACCUUUGCUCUUCCAGACCCCUCUCGAUUCACCCUAGUAGAUUUCCCACUUCACCUUCCCUUGGAACUUCUGGGUGUGGAUGCUUGUCUUCAGGUGCUAACCUGCAUCCUGCUAGAGCACAAGGUGGUGCUACAGUCCCGAGACUAUAACGCACUUUCUAUGUCUGUGAUGGCAUUUGUGGCGAUGAUUUACCCCCUGGAGUACAUGUUUCCUGUCAUUCCACUGCUUCCCACCUGCAUGGCAUCAGCAGAGCAGCUGCUGUUGGCUCCAACUCCGUACAUCAUUGGGGUCCCUGCCAGCUUCUUCCUCUACAAACUAGACUUCAAAAUGCCUGAUGAUGUGUGGCUAGUGGAUCUGGACAGCAAUAGGGUGAUUGCCCCAACUAAUGCAGAAAUGCUACCCAUCCUGCCAGAACCAGAAUCAUUAGAACUGAAAAAACAUUUAAAGCAGGCCUUAGCUAGCAUGAGUCUCAACACUCAGCCCAUUCUCAAUCUGGAGAAAUUUCAUGAGGGCCAAGAGAUCCCACUUCUCUUGGGAAGGCCUUCUAAUGACCUGCAGUCCACCCCUUCUACUGAAUUCAAUCCACUCAUCUAUGGCAAUGAUGUGGAUUCAGUGGAUGUUGCAACUAGAGUGGCCAUGGUACGUUUCUUCAACUCCGCUAAUGUGCUACAGGGCUUUCAAAUGCACACGCGUACCUUGAGACUCUUCCCUCGGCCUGUGGUAGCUUUCCAGGCUGGCUCCUUUCUAGCCUCGCGUCCCCGGCAAACUCCUUUUGCUGAAAAACUGGCCAGGACUCAGGCUGUGGAGUACUUUGGAGAAUGGAUUCUUAACCCCACCAACUAUGCCUUUCAGCGAAUUCAUAACAAUAUGUUUGAUCCAGCCCUGAUUGGUGACAAGCCAAAGUGGUACGCUCACCAGCUGCAGCCCAUCCACUAUCGAGUCUAUGAUAGCAAUUCUCAGCUGGCGGAGGCUUUGAGUAUACCACCAGAGCGUGACUCUGACUCUGACCCCACUGAUGACAGUGGCAGUGAUAGUAUGGAUUAUGAUGACUCAAGCUCUUCUUAUUCCUCCCUUGGUGACUUUGUCAGUGAAAUGAUGAAAUGUGACAUCAAUGGUGACACUCCCAAUGUGGACCCUCUGACGCACGCGGCACUGGGGGAUGCCAGUGAGGUGAAGAUUGAUGAGCUGCAGAACCAGAAGGAAACAGAGGAGCCUGGCCUGGACAGUGAGAACCCUCAGGAAAACCCUCCACUGCGCUCUAUCUCCAGCACCACUGCCAGCAGCAGCCCUAGCACUGUCAUCCAUGGAGCUGCUUCUGAACCUUCUGACUCAAUGGAGAUGGAUGAUAAGGCAGCAGUAGGCGACUCCAAGCCUCUCCCUCCUGUGCUUCCCAGCAGUGGCAAAUCGAACAUGGACAGGCAUCAGACAGAGAUCGGAGAGGGGUCAGUGCGCCGGCGAACCUAUGACAAUCCAUACUUCGAGCCCCAAUAUGGCUUUCCCCCUGAGGAAGAUGAUGAUGAGCAGGGGGAAAGCUACACUCCCCGAUUCAGCCAACAUGUCAAUGGCAAUCGGGCUCAAAAGCUGCUGCGGCCCAACAGCUUGAAACUGGCAAGUGACUCAGAUGCAGAGUCAGACUCCCGAGCAAGCUCUCCCAACUCCACCGUCUCCAACAACAGCACCGAGGGCUUCGGGGGCAUCAUGUCUUUUGCCAGCAGCCUCUAUCGGAACCACAGCACGAGCUUUAGUCUUUCAAACCUCACACUGCCAACCAAAGGUGCCCGGGAGAAGACCACUCCAUUUCCCAGUCUGAAAGUAUUUGGGCUAAAUACUCUAAUGGAGAUUGUUACUGAAGCCGGCCCUGGGAGUGGUGAAGGAAACAGGAGGGCCUUAGUGGACCAGAAGUCAUCUGUCAUUAAACACAGCCCAACAGUAAAAAGGGAACCUCCAUCACCCCAGGGCCGAUCCAGCAAUUCUAGUGAGAAUCAGCAGUUCCUGAAGGAAGUGGUGCACAGCGUGCUGGAUGGCCAGGGAGUGGGCUGGCUCAACAUGAAAAAGGUGCGCCGGCUACUGGAGAGCGAGCAGCUGCGAGUCUUUGUCCUGAGCAAGCUGAACCGCACAGUACAGUCAGAGGAUGAUGCCCGGCAGGAAGUCAUCCCAGAUGUGGAGAUCAGUCGAAAGGUGUACAAGGGAAUGUUAGACCUCCUCAAGUGCACAGUCCUCAGUCUGGAGCAGUCCUAUGCCCAUGCAGGUCUGGGUGGCAUGGCCAGCAUCUUCGGGCUCCUGGAGAUUGCCCAGACCCACUACUAUAGUAAAGAACCAGACAAGCGGAAGAGAAGUCCAACAGAAAGUAUAAAUACCCCAGUUGGCAAGGAUCUUGGUCCAGCUGGGCGGGGGGACCCAAAGGCUAUGGCACAGCUGAAAGUCCCCCAGCUAGGUCCUCGGGCACCAAAUGCUACAGGAAAGGGUCCUAAGGAACUGGACUCCAGAAGUUUAAAGGAAGAGAAUUUUGUAGCAUCUAUUGGGCCAGAAGUAGUCAAACCUGCCUUUGAUCUUGGUGAGACAGAGGAGAAAAAGUCACAGAUCAGCGCAGACAGUGGUGUGAGCCUGACAUCUGCUUCCCAGAGGACUGAUCGUGACUCUGUCAUUGGAGUGAGUCCAGCUGUUAUGAUUCGCAGUUCAAGUCAGGAUUCUGAAGUUAGCACCGUGGUAAGUAAUAGUUCUGGAGAGACCCUUGGAGCAGACAGUGACCUGAGCAGCAAUGCAGGUGAUGGACCAGGUGGCGAAGGCAGUGCCCAUUUGGCAGGUUCUCGGGGCACUUUGUCUGAUAGUGAAAUUGAGACCAACUCUGCCACAAGCACCAUCUUUGGUAAAGCCCACAGCUUGAAGCCAAAGGAGAAGUUGGCAGGCAGCCCAGUUCGCUCUUCUGAAGAUGUAAGCCAGCGAGUCUAUCUCUAUGAAGGACUCCUAGGAAGGGACAAAGGAUCGAUGUGGGACCAGUUAGAGGAUGCUGCUAUGGAGACCUUUUCUAUAAGCAAAGAGCGUUCUACUUUAUGGGAUCAAAUGCAGUUCUGGGAAGAUGCGUUCUUAGAUGCUGUGAUGUUGGAGAGAGAAGGAAUGGGUAUGGACCAGGGUCCCCAGGAAAUGAUUGACAGGUACCUGUCCUUGGGAGAACAUGACCGGAAGCGCCUGGAGGAUGAUGAAGAUCGCUUGCUGGCCACACUUUUGCACAACCUCAUCUCCUACAUGCUGCUGAUGAAGGUGAAUAAGAAUGACAUCCGAAAGAAGGUGCGGCGUCUAAUGGGAAAGUCCCACAUUGGACUUGUGUACAGCCAGCAAAUCAAUGAGGUGCUUGAUCAGUUGGCAAACCUGCAUGGACGUGAUCUCUCCAUCCGGUCCAGUGGCAGCCGGCACAUGAAGAAGCAAACAUUUGUGGUACAUGCGGGAACAGACACAAAUGGAGAUAUCUUUUUCAUGGAGGUAUGCGAUGACUGUGUGGUGUUGCGUAGUAACAUCGGGACAGUGUAUGAGCGCUGGUGGUAUGAAAAGCUCAUCAACAUGACCUACUGUCCCAAGACCAAGGUCUUGUGCUUGUGGCGUAGAAAUGGAUCUGAGACCCAGCUCAACAAGUUCUAUACUAAGAAGUGUCGGGAGCUGUACUACUGUGUGAAGGAUAGCAUGGAGCGGGCUGCCGCCCGACAGCAAAGCAUCAAGCCUGGGCCUGAACUAGGUGGAGAGUUCCCUGUGCAGGACAUGAAGACUGGAGAGGGUGGCUUGCUGCAGGUCACCCUGGAAGGGAUCAAUCUCAAGUUCAUGCACAACCAGGUUUUCAUAGAGCUGAAUCACAUUAAAAAGUGCAAUACAGUUCGAGGCGUCUUUGUCCUGGAGGAAUUUGGUAAUUACACUAUUUUGCUCUUAGGUCUGGACUCACUUGGCAGUAACUCAAACCUUGGAGCUCCAGAGGAGGGACUAGGGGCAGGGAAAGAAAAAAAAAGAAGAACCUUUACAAAGAGGCCAGGAGGAGCAGGAGCAACAGGGAGGAAUACCUGAGAAGAGAGAAGGGAAGGAGCAGGACAAGACACAAUGAGCAUACCACAGCCAGGGGCCUUAGAUGGGUUUAGAGUUUAGAAAUAGUACUGACGAGGCUCAGUAAAGUAGUACCACCUUCCCUUGCUCAGCCAGCCAGUGGUCAGAAAGUUCUGGGGCAGAGCAGACUGGCAAUCCCCAAACUCUGCUAUGUCUGUCGCCUGCUGCCAUUUCUCUAGCAGCCCAACACUCCACCCAGCCUCCCUGAUGCCGCUCUAGGCUCUGCCUGGCCUCUAUGCUAGAAGAGGGCAUGGGGCGUCAUAGCAGACUCACUGGAGGCCAGAGAAGCCUAGUGAACCUCAGAGGCAGAAGGGCAGGUAUAGCCGGAAGCUGGAGCCAACCUUCCCAGCAAGUGCAAGGAGUGACAUAGUGGGGUCUCACCCUGGGGCUUUGAGUUCCUGCUGUGUUUGUGCUUCAUUCUUUUGUACCCCUCAUCGCUGCUAUGAAAACCUUCGUUCUCCAGCAGGUAAAGUGACCUCGGCACCACACUGCUCGUGCUGCCUCUCCCCCAGGCCCUUGCCUUGGGCCCCGCCAUGGGUGGGUGGGGACUCCCUUCAACCAACCAGUGGCUCACAUCCUUUCUCUCCCCAUCCCCUUCCUUCCCAAAAUCCCCCAUCCUUGUGCUGGCUCACUGUUUCCAACUUUUCUCCCCCAUGUGCUCCCUUCUGUCUUCUGCCAGAGAGAUAUUUGGGGGACUGUUUCAACUCAGGAGAAUGAAUGACCUGGGGCAUCUUACUCUACCUUGAUAAGUUUAUUCUCGUUAACCCUGGGUUCCCCUGAAUUCUACCUCUCAAGGUCAGAAGAAGGUGUGGCCAACUGUCAUCCUACUUUUUUCUGGCCCCCAGGGAACGCCAUACUCUUCUCAGGCUCCUAGGGGCACACUGAUGGCUGGGAGGCCCUGUUCCUUUCUCUGGCUGGGCAGAGCCACUGCAUGGCUGGGCAAGGGCGACUCCUAGUCUUGCAUUCUGGGCUGUGAACAUGUGUGUAUUUGCCUGAUGCUCCCCAUCACCUCCCUCCCUGGGUGCUGUACUUGCCUGUCUUUCCUGCUCGGUGUGUCUGCUCCAGAGCCCUCUGACGCUCUCCCUCACACAGGCAGGCCUGGGCUUCUCCUGCCACUCAGGGAAGGACACUCAAGUCUGAUGGGUUUAGUAUCAUGUUACUUUUUUAUCCAGCCUCACAACCCCCUUUGUAGGGGCUGGAGGUGAAGGGAACCAUAUGUAACCUGACUGGACUUGUGGGCUGGUGACAGGGAUGAGUUCACAGGCAUCUCAGCAAGGUGAGGCACAGGCUAGAGACCACUCUCUUCCCCACUGCAACUCCUCAAGGGCCCUGAACAGUAACUGUGGCCAGGCUGGAGAAAGUCCAGCCCUUCUCACCCUGGGGCUUUCAAAGAAGCAGGUACAGUCACAACCAUCAAGUUAAGAGCCACUGCAGACUUCAGAGGUCUAAAUGAGAAGUCUGGCUGGACAGACAGAGGAGUCUGGCUGGACAGGCUGGCCUCUGCCCUGUCAUAGCCUAAGCUGCUGCAGCCACUGUGAGAGGCCACAGAGGGGAAGGGGACCCUGGUGCCAGGCGCUGCCACCUGGGGCAGCAUGGCACUGUCGCUCUUAGUUUUGAACUUUCUGUUUUGUCUCUUGCCCGUCCGGUUUUAGUUCCUGAAAUUAAAGAAGUGGUGAGCCACAAGUACAAGACACCAAUGGCACAUGAGAUCUGCUACUCUGUGUUGUGUCUCUUCUCGUAUGUGGCUGCAGUUCGUAGCAGUGA
Castor canadensis (American beaver) is the source of this 6736-nucleotide non-coding RNA. Lineage: Eukaryota; Metazoa; Chordata; Mammalia; Rodentia; Castoridae. The record is from RefSeq and is a predicted model, not a curated record.